Molecule: ribosomal RNA, 406 nt
Filed under: uncultured bacterium
Lineage: Bacteria
Description: partial 16S ribosomal RNA
Rfam family: Bacterial small subunit ribosomal RNA
Source: RNAcentral
AUUGAACGCUGGCGGCAGGCCUAACACAUGCAAGUCGAGCGAGCGGCGGACGGGUGAGUAAUGUAUGGGGAACUGCCCGAUGGAGGGGGAUAACUACUGGAAACGGUGGCUAAUACCGCAUACUAUCGGAUGAACCCAGAUGGGAUUAGCUAGUAGGUGGGGUAAAGGCUCACCUAGGCGACGAUCCCUAGCUGGUCUGAGAGGAUGACCAGCCACACUGGAACUGAGACACGGCCCAGACUCCUACGGGAGGCAGCAGUGGGGAAUAUUGCACAAUGGGCGCAAGCCUGAUGCAGCCAUGCCGCGUGUAUGAAGAAGGCCUUCGGGUUGUAAAGUACUUUCAGCGGGGAGGCGUUACCCGCAGAAGAAGCACCGGCUAACUCCGUGCCAGCAGCCGCGGUAAUAC